CGCUGGCGGCGUGCCUAAUACAUGCAAGUCGAACGCACUCUCGUUUAGAUUGAAGGAGCUUGCUCCUGAUUGAUAAACAUUUGAGUGAGUGGCGGACGGGUGAGUAACACGUGGGUAACCUGCCCUAAAGUGGGGGAUAACAUUUGGAAACAGAUGCUAAUACCGCAUAAAACCUAACACCGCAUGGUGUAGGGUUGAAAGAUGGUUUCGGCUAUCACUUUAGGAUGGACCCGCGGUGCAUUAGUUAGUUGGUGAGGUAAAGGCUCACCAAGACCGUGAUGCAUAGCCGACCUGAGAGGGUAAUCGGCCACACUGGGACUGAGACACGGCCCAGACUCCUACGGGAGGCAGCAGUAGGGAAUCUUCCACAAUGGACGAAAGUCUGAUGGAGCAACGCCGCGUGAGUGAAGAAGGUUUUCGGAUCGUAAAACUCUGUUGUUGGAGAGGAAUGUAUCUGAUAGUAACUGAUCAGGUAGUGACGGUAUCCAACCAGAAAGCCACGGCUAACUACGUG
Molecule: ribosomal RNA, 514 nt
Filed under: uncultured bacterium
Lineage: Bacteria
Description: bacterial SSU rRNA
Rfam family: Bacterial small subunit ribosomal RNA
Source: RNAcentral